This 394-nucleotide ribosomal RNA is filed under the name uncultured bacterium. RNAcentral's name for it is "bacterial SSU rRNA". It matches the Rfam family "Bacterial small subunit ribosomal RNA", at positions 975 to 1375 of the family's 1533-position model. The record is from RNAcentral.
CAGGCCUUGACAUCCAAUGAACUUUCCAGAGAUGGAUUGGUGCCUUCGGGAACCGUGAGACAGGUGCUGCAUGGCUGUCGUCAGCUCGUGUUGUGAAAUGUUGGGUUAAGUCCCGCAACGAGCGCAACCCUUGUCAUUAGUUGCUACGAAAGAGCACUCUAAUGAGACUGCCGGUGACAAACCGGAGGAAGGUGGGGAUGACGUCAAGUCAUCAUGGCCCUUACGGCCUGGGCUACACACGUGCUACAAUGGUCGGUACAGAGGGUUGCCAAGCCGCGAGGUGGAGCUAAUCUCACAAAACCGAUCGUAGUCCGGAUCGCAGUCUGCAACUCGACUGCGUGAAGUCGGAAUCGCUAGUAAUCGCGAAUCAGAAUGUCGCGGUGAAUACGUUCCC